Molecule: long non-coding RNA, 2075 nt
Filed under: Varroa destructor (honeybee mite)
Lineage: Eukaryota; Metazoa; Arthropoda; Arachnida; Mesostigmata; Varroidae
Description: uncharacterized LOC111250817
Source: RNAcentral
UGCCGCGCCACGCAAUGCUAUAUGCGCCUGUUUGUCAGUAACGGUAGUACCACCAUUCGUAGCCGUGGUAAUAUUAUGGUGGGUGUUGUUUUGCAUCUCGGAUUGCUGAUUGCUUGACGCCUGGCACUGCUGCAGCUGUUGCUGCUGCCAUCCAAAUCCGACUGGGCUGGGAAUGAAUGAACGACUCACCGCCACCGCUUUUCUCCAGAAGCGUUCCCCUCCAGAGGCGGUCAGGCGAGAAGUGACGACGGCUAACUGUAGUAGUAGCUUAUGGUUUCUACAGUCACAGCAAGAUGUCAGGCAUUACUUACAAUGGCACUAUCUGAGUGUUACUAGCUAAGCAAUUGAACUGAGAGGAUAGGAUCUUCUUCGUCAUGGGAAGCUGAAAACCCGUUCUGUGUACUGCUGAGCCGCUCACGUCGUUGUCAAUGACGAAGGCCCAACGAACUGUUUCGGCUGGACUAUACUAAAUGUACAUGGUUACGUAUUGUGACGGACUAACCUAACUGGAGUUAAUAUAAGCAUGAGGUUCAUAUGCGCAGCUCAGCAAAUAUUAUAAUACGGUAACGGGGCUUCUCACAGGAGACCGAAGCGUGCAAAAAGACAAGGCGCAAUAGCCAACAUUUGCGUUUGAGGGCUGAAACUGUGCGGAGAAACGUUAUUUCUACAGUUAUGCGUGCAUCGUAUAGCAACUGUUGGCGUGGUUGACGCCUUUGGAUGUUAAGAAGAUCGGAAUUAGCUGCUAAAGUAGAAUGAGGCGAAGAUAUAAUCUGUUCAUGUUAUCUAUCACAGUUGAAAUUUUUAUAUUUGUGCAAUAAGUAGAACAAUCUUCAAAACGGUUAUAAUGGUCUUGAUUAUACUUUGGAUUGGCUUGGCUUGUAAACGACAAGUGGGAAAAGCAUCGGGUUCAUGGUCAAAGUAAGCAAGUUCCCCAUCGAUUCCCAAGUUGCUGAACCUUGUUUCCAUCAAAAACGGCUAUUUAGCAACUCCAGCAUUGACAGAAUAUAUUUUUACCACAGAUCGAGUGGUAGCAGCCAAUGAGUACCAGUAGAUACGAUCAGGACGGUUAUCACGCACUUCUUUCUCAGACAACCGCUAAAGGAACCAAUACUGAUUCCAGUGAUGCAUCAAGAUCUGGCGCAUCGUAAAAAAUCUGCAGUUGGCGACGGCCAAGGAAGUAAAAAGCAUGGUGAAGUCAGAAAUGCUACAGGUUGUUGGCUCGGCUUUUUUCGGCGGCGUUAUGCGAAAGGCAGAAGAGCUACAAUACGAAAGACGACAACGACAAAACUUCCUCCCUGGAGUCUGAGGCAGAAGAAAUAUACAUGAUACCCCGCCAACACAUUACACUUGAUUUCAAAAUUUUCUUAGCUUUGUAUGGGCUUUCUGAGAGAUCGCUCUUCGCCUCACAGGACCCUACACAACACCAUCUGUCAGGGGCCCGUGAGUUUAGUGUUUGUCCCACGGGACCAUUCAGGAAAAUGUGUCCGGGUGUGUGAGAUAGAAAAGCAAAGUUUACUUUGAACGAAAUGCUUUGAUCGCCAAGUCGUAUCAGGACUCGGCUCGGUGUUUUAUUCACGCGCAAGUCACAAAUCUGUUGAAGUGCUAAAGUUCGAAAUGCCAUUGAGGAUAUGGAGUUGCCGAGAGACAUGAGAAAAAGGCAACCGAUGUGUCAAUCAUAAUGGAUGCACAGAGGAAAGUUGUUUUCGUAAUAGUGGCUCGAAUAGCGGAUCAUUGGCCACAACGCGUCUGAUGCUUGAAUUUACGAAAAAAUUACGCUUAGAAUAGAAUAGAAUAGAAUAGAAUGGAAUAAAGAUGGCUAUGCGGGACCUAAACCUCGACGUAUUUGUUGGGUAGUAACAGUCAGACUUCAAAACUAUCACACGUCUGCAGCGAGCACUAAGCUUAGUGGCCUCUUGAACGAUGUUUUCUUCUCUUCUAAGGUUCUAAUCCACAUGAAGCCCCAGGUACAAUUAAAUAUUCAAAUUUUUUCAUCGUUUUCUGGAUUAUGACCACAGCGACUAAGCGGUGUGAUUCACUGUCGAGUGUUUCUCGAAAACGGUAGUUAAUGUUGUAAA